GUACAUACUUACUUUAAGGGUCCCUUGGAGGUCUUUUUGUAGGCAAUAGCUAGAGAGCUAUUUUGGGUAGGUGACGUGGCCGAUCUAAAUGCGAUAGAUGAGAUUUUCGAUUGAAAUUUUUGAGAUCAGGUGGUUACACCUACCUUAUCUAUUCUAAAGCCAGCUAAAUAUCACGGACGCUUUUGAAUUUGAAAUGAGGGCGCAAGUUGAAUUAGAUCGGCUUCAAUUAAAGAGGCUCCAAUGUGGUCUAAUGGAGAUAGGUGCCGAAGGAAGGG
This 275-nucleotide long non-coding RNA is filed under the name Elaeis guineensis (African oil palm). RNAcentral's name for it is "long non-coding RNA (EGUI_LNC009732)". Lineage: Eukaryota; Viridiplantae; Streptophyta; Magnoliopsida; Arecales; Arecaceae. The record is from RNAcentral.